This 325-nucleotide ribosomal RNA is filed under the name uncultured eukaryote. RNAcentral describes it as "partial 18S ribosomal RNA". It matches the Rfam family "Eukaryotic small subunit ribosomal RNA", at positions 1470 to 1796 of the family's 1831-position model. The record is from RNAcentral.
CCCUUAGAUGUUCUGGGCAGCACGCGCGCUACAAUGGUCUUCGCAAACGGAUGCAUUCUCGAAGGAGAAUGCCAAUCUUGGAAUCUAUGCCUUGGUCGGGACAGUUGCUUGCAAUUUUUCGACUCGAACCAGGAAUUCCUUGUAAUCGUGAUUCAUCACAUCACGAUGAAUACGUCCCUGCCCUUUGUACACACCGCCCGUCGCUCCUACCGAUUGAAUGGUCCGGUGAAGUGCUCGGAUCGUGGCGACGUGGGUGGUCUGCCGCCGACGACGCCGCGAGAAGUCCAUUGAACCUUAUCAUUUAGAGGAAGGAGAAGUCGUAACA